UACGUAGGGGCCUAGCGUUGUCCGGAUUUAUUGGGCGUAAAGAGCUCGUAGGCGGCUCGUCGCGUCAGCUGUGAAAACCCGCGGCUUAACCGUGGGCUUGCAGCUGAUACGGGCGGGCUAGAGUUCGGUAGGGGAGACUGGAAUUCCUGGUGUAGCGGUGAAAUGCGCAGAUAUCAGGAGGAACACCGGUGGCGAAGGCGGGUCUCUGGGCCGAUACUGACGCUGAGGAGCGAAAGCGUGGGGAGCGAACAGG
Molecule: ribosomal RNA, 253 nt
Filed under: uncultured bacterium
Lineage: Bacteria
Description: partial 16S ribosomal RNA
Rfam family: Bacterial small subunit ribosomal RNA
Source: RNAcentral